Strongylocentrotus purpuratus (purple sea urchin) is the source of this 680-nucleotide long non-coding RNA. RefSeq lists it as uncharacterized. Lineage: Eukaryota; Metazoa; Echinodermata; Echinoidea; Camarodonta; Strongylocentrotidae. The transcript has 4 exons. The record is from RefSeq and is a predicted model, not a curated record.
UUUCUAGUUUCAUGCCAAUGACUACGUUCAUAAGCUAAAUGUACAAGUUCCCUCAAAAUAUUACCCACGACUUGAAACAUCCUAUACUUGUAGCUUGUUGUAGAUUUGCAAAUUUGGAAGAGUCAAUCCUGAAUUCAUCACAAUGCCUAACAGUGCUUGGCCAGCUCAACCCAUGAAGGUCUUGGGACCUCAGAUAAGACAUUGGGGACCUUUUUUGGUACCUUGCGUGUUGAUUACAGGUGUUGUCAUGGCAAAAGCUUCAUUAGCAGGACUGAGAGCAAAGAAAGCAGAAGCAGCAGCGGGAGGUAAAUCAGGUCAUUAGUCUUAGUCAAUGAUUGGUCAGGGAAACAACUCUUCUCAUUUCUAAAUAUACAAAAAAAUGACCCAGCCUUCAUUUCCAACACACCAGCUGGGAAGUUCCGCGUCGGCAACAAGAAAGAAAGAGGGCAUCGCAUCACCUAUUCACAAAGAAGUCACUAUCAGCUACAGUUAUUCAGAAGUUCGUGGAAACUGCUACUACAACAACUAUUCUCCUUUGAUAUGGAACUGUUUUCCUGACCCGUCAGUUUUCAUGAAAUAAAGCUGUUUUUGUAAUUAGAAGAUGUAUUGUAAUAAUAACAGUUCUUCAUUGCUGUGGAAGUUAUAUGUGCAAAUGUUGCAUUAAAUUUAUAAAUCACAAA